RNAcentral lists this unclassified non-coding RNA (291 nucleotides) under Hevea brasiliensis (rubber tree). Lineage: Eukaryota; Viridiplantae; Streptophyta; Magnoliopsida; Malpighiales; Euphorbiaceae. The record is from RNAcentral.
AAAAAACAUAUGGAAAACAUGUAAAGAAACUAGUUAUACUGUUAUAGAGUCCUAUUGCUUGAACAAAAUAAAUAAAUUUAAACCUCAUAAAAUUUUAUGACAAAAAAUAGUAAGAAUUAAAGGAAAUAAAAUCAUUUUACAGUUUGAAUUGAAUUCUUAAAUUUCAAAAUUCAAACUUAUAGCAUUUUAACGGUAAGGUAGAUAUUUCAAUUGGACCCAUACUUCCAACUCUAUUUUGAACUUGUCAAAAAAAGCAACAUCAAAAAACAGAUCAUUAUUGCUAACAGGAAA